CGCUUGGUGACGCAGUUGGCAGCGUGCUGGGCCCAUAACCCAGAAGUCCCAAGAUCGAAGCUUGGCCGAGCGA
Molecule: transfer RNA, 73 nt
Filed under: Beta vulgaris subsp. vulgaris (sugar beet)
Lineage: Eukaryota; Viridiplantae; Streptophyta; Magnoliopsida; Caryophyllales; Amaranthaceae
Also listed under: 1 other name
Rfam family: tRNA
About the family: Transfer RNA (tRNA) molecules are approximately 80 nucleotides in length. Their secondary structure includes four short double-helical elements and three loops (D, anti-codon, and T loops).
Source: Rfam by way of RNAcentral